RNAcentral lists this transfer RNA (82 nucleotides) under Verrucomicrobiales bacterium. RNAcentral describes it as "tRNA-Leu". It matches the Rfam family "tRNA". Rfam says of the family: Transfer RNA (tRNA) molecules are approximately 80 nucleotides in length. The record is from RNAcentral. RNAcentral also lists the same sequence under 1 other name. Lineage: Bacteria; Pseudomonadati; Verrucomicrobiota; Verrucomicrobiia; Verrucomicrobiales.
GCCGGGAUGGUGAAAUUGGUAGACACGCUUGAUUUAGGUUCAAGUGCCGCAAGGUGUGCAGGUUCGAGUCCUGUUCCCGGUA